UCCGCGCUGGUGUAAUGGCAGCACGCCGGCCUUUGGAUCCGGAUGGUAGAAGUUCGAAUCUUCUGCGCGGAG
Molecule: transfer RNA, 72 nt
Filed under: Pseudarthrobacter sp. BIM B-2242
Lineage: Bacteria; Bacillati; Actinomycetota; Actinomycetes; Micrococcales; Micrococcaceae
Rfam family: tRNA
About the family: Transfer RNA (tRNA) molecules are approximately 80 nucleotides in length. Their secondary structure includes four short double-helical elements and three loops (D, anti-codon, and T loops).
Source: Rfam by way of RNAcentral